RNAcentral lists this ribosomal RNA (567 nucleotides) under Salmonella enterica subsp. enterica serovar Kentucky str. 22694. Its description in RNAcentral is "bacterial SSU rRNA". It matches the Rfam family "Bacterial small subunit ribosomal RNA", at positions 87 to 650 of the family's 1533-position model. The record is from RNAcentral. Lineage: Bacteria; Pseudomonadati; Pseudomonadota; Gammaproteobacteria; Enterobacterales; Enterobacteriaceae.
GCUGACGAGUGGCGGACGGGUGAGUAAUGUCUGGGAAACUGCCUGAUGGAGGGGGAUAACUACUGGAAACGGUGGCUAAUACCGCAUAACGUCGCAAGACCAAAGAGGGGGACCUUCGGGCCUCUUGCCAUCAGAUGUGCCCAGAUGGGAUUAGCUUGUUGGUGAGGUAACGGCUCACCAAGGCGACGAUCCCUAGCUGGUCUGAGAGGAUGACCAGCCACACUGGAACUGAGACACGGUCCAGACUCCUACGGGAGGCAGCAGUGGGGAAUAUUGCACAAUGGGCGCAAGCCUGAUGCAGCCAUGCCGCGUGUAUGAAGAAGGCCUUCGGGUUGUAAAGUACUUUCAGCGGGGAGGAAGGUGUUGUGGUUAAUAACCGCAGCAAUUGACGUUACCCGCAGAAGAAGCACCGGCUAACUCCGUGCCAGCAGCCGCGGUAAUACGGAGGGUGCAAGCGUUAAUCGGAAUUACUGGGCGUAAAGCGCACGCAGGCGGUCUGUCAAGUCGGAUGUGAAAUCCCCGGGCUCAACCUGGGAACUGCAUUCGAAACUGGCAGGCUUGAGUCUU